GCCACCUUAGCUUAGGGGCAGAGCGUUGGUCUUGUAAACCAAAGGUCGUCGGUUCGAUUCCGAUAGGUGGCA
Molecule: non-coding RNA, 72 nt
Organism: Bursaphelenchus xylophilus (pine wood nematode)
Lineage: Eukaryota; Metazoa; Nematoda; Chromadorea; Rhabditida; Aphelenchoididae
Source: Rfam